UUGAAAAAGAAAGAGGUCUCUCUCUCUCGUCUCAUCUUCUCUCCCUCGCCUCUUUCUGUUGCACAAACAUUGGCGGCUGCUGCCGUUCCGCCAUCUCACGAUUGGACGACGCUGUUCAGAUUUUUAGGAGGUCGGAGGCGAUGCCCUCUGUAGGAUAGCCGAGGGAGAAAUUUUGUGACCGGAUUUGGGGUUUUUUGGGAGAGAUUCGUGGUCGUCCAUGGUAGUCCCAGGCUGGAUCUGCGGUUUGUGUGAGGGAGAAGAGAAGAUUGGGAGAGAGGAAGGCCGCGGUUUGGCCGCCGGAGGACAGAGGGAGUGGCGAUGGCGGCUAGGUUUUUGUUUGAGGAAUCUGAGCGAGGGAGAGGGAUGCGGCAGAGCAGCUGUUUUAGCCGGAGGUCGAGGCUGGAAAGGGUGGCUCCUUCUCUCUCUUCGAGUAUUAUCCUAACUUGAUGUAGCUCAAUUCUUCAUGCGAUGUAUAGGAGUUCNCGCGGCUCAGGGGCAGCGGUCGUUGGGUGACUGGUGGCCGGAAGCGGGCCUCUUGCAGGGUAAUCGAAGGAGGAGAAGUUUGGUGGCCGGAUUUGGGGUUUUUUGGGAGAGAUUCGUGGUCGUCCAUGGUAGUCCCAGGCUGAAUCUGCGGUUUGUGUGAGGGAGAAGAGAAGAUUGGGAGAGAGGAAGGCCGCGGUUUGGCCGCCGGAGGACAGAGGGAGCGGCGAUGGCGUGUUUGAGGAAUCUGAGCGAGGGAGAGGGAUGCGGCAGAGCAGCUGUUUUAGCCGGAGGUCGAGGCUGGAAAGGGUGGCUCCUUCUCUCUCUUCGAGUAUUAUCCUAACUUGAUGUAGCUCAAUUCUUCAUGCGAUGUAUAGGAGUUCAUAGAGCAGGUAGGGAAAGACGGCGUUGAGUCGGACGAGCAGCGACGGCGGCGUUUGCCACUGCUUGAUUCGAGAAGGGGGGCAGCGCGUGCCUGCGUGGGACGAAGGUGGCGGCCGCGGCCGUGGCUCACCGCUGUCGCCGGAGGACAGAGGGAUGUGGCGGCGGUUCUUCUCGCCUGGCCAAGGGUGGACCUCAGCGGUGGCCACCCGAGUUUUAGGCUAACCUCAGAUGCACUCAACAACAAAUUCAAGCUGCAAUCCAUCUUGAAUUCUAGCUCGAAUGUGACUAUUUCGAACUUUUCAAGUAGGAUUUACAGCUGAAAUCAGGUGCUUUAAUUGAAGUGCGGUUAUUAUGUCUUUCAAUGCGAUUAUAGAUUUGAGUGAGGAGUUCGUUUUGCUUUUGUGAAUCUGUAUUUCACAGCCUGUAUCUGCGUCGUAUCAUCAAUUUGAAUUUCUGAUUUGUAUUAUCUGUGUUUGCUUGUUUGAGAUGGAGUUUGAGCGGGAGAUGAAGUUGAGCGGUCGGAGAGGCGAGGUGGGCGGCGGCAGCAGCCGGGUGUUGCCGACUGCCGCUGCUGAUUUGUGCAGCGAAGGAGACGAGCUGGGGGAGUUAAAUUCCAGCAGCUUUCCGCCAGAGACUUCAAGGUGAGUAUUUGCAUAAGGUCGUGGGUUUAUAUCCCACACAUUGCGAUUAUGUGUUGCUUUGACAAAAUCUGCUUUGCUUGGUUUUAAACCAUAAAUAAAUUACUUGCUUUCAUCACUAAUUUAGUAAUUUGCUUCGCUUGGUUUUAUUGUUGGUACCGUGCCUCAUUGAGGCCUCUAUGUGUGGAAUUUUUGAAAUGGUAUAUUUGACAAUUGUGUAGCAGCUGAAAUUGUUUAUUUUUAAAUUAGUAGAAUUGCAGCUAUUUUUUCCUUCUUUGCUGGUGAUGAAGUAUGAUUUUUAUGUGGAAAAAUGAAGUGAACUAGUAGAAUAGUCUGUUUUGAGUCUAUGCAAUUUGAGAGUCUGCUUAAACUUAGUAAAUAUGCAAUCUUUAUUAUUUUUGACUGCUGGUGGUUGAGUGCCUUUGCUGGUAUUAUAUUUCAGGAGGUCAUUUGGUUUUGUCUUGUCUGAGUGGCAAUAAGAGUAGCAAUAGCCUAUAUUUCGUUCUUCAUUUCUUAUUUUUCUUCAUUUCAGUUAGUAGGCUGUGAAAGAGGGAGCUAUGCAGCAGGAGAGAGCCAAUGUCAUUUAUUCAUUUAUUUAUGGAUUUUUUGUUUGCUUUUUGGAGGUUUUGAGCUCUCCACAACAGAGGUUGGCUCAGGGAAGAAGUGCCCAGACAGAUCGAGACCUUAUGAGACAGUUGUAGGCUUCUUUUUUGGUGUUUCCCUUGUUGAAGCUAUCAUGUGUGACUUGUUGGUAGCUCUUAUUUGUUCAACUUUUUGUAUGUCGUCAUUCAUUUUGAAUGUGGCUAAAUUCUUUGUUUUGAGUGCAGAAAUUUCAGAUGUUGUAUCGUUAUUUUUUCUUGCAUUGCAUCGUUUAAGACUUGACUAUUUAGCUGACUUCUCAGAUUGGCAUGUGCCUAUUUUAUAUCCAGCUUGAACUUUAGACCAUUGGUCGGUUUGAGCUAUUUAUCUUAUUAGGACUUUUCAUUUGUGAAUUUUCAGAAAGUCGACACUGCUAGAUAUCUGUGAGAUUUGCCUUAUUCUAUAAUUCGAUGUGCUUUGCUGAUACAUGUGCACAUGUUUGAAUAUCAUAUUUGAUGAAGUAAUCACAUUGAUUAUGAUGGCUUCAAUGUAGGGAUUAAUGCAACGUAUUGCAGCUUGUAUAUUUUAGAAAUCAACAUGUCAAAGAGAUGCAUAGACACGACAUGUCCUUUUAUUUUCAUUUCGUUUUGCCAGCUUGGAAUUGAUGUUGGAGAAUUUAUUGCAUCUAGGCAAAGCCAGACUGGACUCAUAUGUGACAUCUUGUAUGUGAUUUUGAUAUAUACACUUGUAUUUAUUUUUCCAAGCCGGGACGAGUUACUGUAGAGGCAGCAAAAUUAUCCCUCAAGAACUGGAAUAAUACUUCUAAUUUUAUUUGGUAAUCCAAGUUGGAACCGGUUGACACUAGCCAACUUGUGAUUGCAUUUGACUUGGGCAAGUUGUGCCUCAUCUUGGUGUGCAAGCUAAUCAAAUAAUUUUAUGCAGCAUGCCAGCUUCGGAUUAUUUUUUGAAUCACAUGCUGGAAUUGUAGAGUUGUCGGCUCUGAAUUGCCUAAGUCGAAUACUUGAAAUUGAACCAAGUUGGUUUUCAUUGGGUCGCACUGACUUCGAUCAAUUGAGGUUAGUACAAUAUGAUGAGAAUAUAUGAACAUGUGGCAUAUUCAGACUUUCAAAAAGAUAAAUGUUUACAAACUUCUUGUCUAUCUCGUUGUUUGCUCCAAGCUGGGUGGUUCGAUCAACUGGAUGACUAGAGACCAAUGGUCUUGAAUUUCAUGUUGUGAUGAUGUUUCUUUCCUUAAUGAUACAGGUUGAUCUUGUCCGUGUAGAGAAGUCAUCAUUAGUGACUUGUAUCUCGCAAGGUGCUAACGUUGCGGGACAGGCUGAGACAUGUCGAUUUGAGGUUGGUGGCUGCACUCCGGAGAGUUUCGUACCUACAUUUGGCGAGGAUCAAACCAAAUAUAGUUCUUGGGCCAGAUUGUGCUCCGUAGAGCCAUGCUCCGUAGAGUUGCCUACGUACCCUUUGACGGAAUUAAGAGUGAUGUAGUUCCGUCUUGGUGGCGAUCGGGCGGCUAGGUCAGCCUGAGUAGCCACGUGGGGGUGCAUCAGGAGUUUCAGAUUCGUCACAACCGUCAGACAUGAUUGAUGCUCGUAGAGAUCUAAGGAAAGUGCGUUGAUUCGCUUGAUUGCUAGGGCCCCACGGUGGGCGCCAAAUUGUAGAGGCUAAAAUCUACAAUUGAAGUUGACGUCUGCACGUCCGGAUAGAUUGGGCACUAGCAACCUGUCAACACAAGAACACGUAAGAACCCUAGGUUGAGCACCGGGAGGGGGUGUCGACCGUAGAGCCUCCGACGCUCAAGUCAGUAACGGAAUAGUAAAAUAGAAUGAUAAGCAAAUUGAAAUAAGAGAGAAAGGCAGGCUGGAAUGAGCGGUUAUUCCAGGCUGUAGGCGGCGUCGGAGGGUGGAAACGGUGACAGUGAGUUGUGAUAAUGGAAUAUGGGAGGCGGCGGUAGGCCAAGCUGGCUAUUUCCGGUUUGGAAGAGAAAUCAGCCUGGCGGCAGAGUAGAGAGAGAGUUCAAGGAGUAGAGAGCAAGUAGGAUUUUUCGUGUCCCCUUUGAUGACCUAGUCGGGCUGUUUAUAUAGUGGACAUCCAGCAGCUAUGGUUUCUACAGUCUGGCCUCGUCAAGGCCCUUAUCUCCCAGGUUGUUGCGAUUUGGACGGGAU
Molecule: long non-coding RNA, 4258 nt
Filed under: Salvia miltiorrhiza (redroot sage)
Lineage: Eukaryota; Viridiplantae; Streptophyta; Magnoliopsida; Lamiales; Lamiaceae
Description: long non-coding RNA (SMIL_LNC005738)
Source: RNAcentral